Molecule: ribosomal RNA, 2711 nt
Filed under: Acinetobacter baumannii
Lineage: Bacteria; Pseudomonadati; Pseudomonadota; Gammaproteobacteria; Moraxellales; Moraxellaceae
Description: partial 23S ribosomal RNA
Rfam family: Bacterial large subunit ribosomal RNA
Source: RNAcentral
CGAGGGGAAGUGAAACAUCUCAGUACCCUUAGGAAAAGAAAUCAAUUGAGAUUCCCUCAGUAGCGGCGAGCGAACGGGGAUCAGCCCAUUAAGUUAUGUGUGUUUUAGUGGAACGCUCUGGGAAGUGCGAACGUAGAGGGUGAUAUUCCCGUACACGAAAGGGCACACAUAAUGAUGACGAGUAGGGCGAGGCACGUGAAACCUUGUCUGAAUAUGGGGGGACCAUCCUCCAAGGCUAAAUACUCCUGACUGACCGAUAGUGAACCAGUACCGUGAGGGAAAGGCGAAAAGAACCCCUGUGAGGGGAGUGAAAUAGAUCCUGAAACCGCAUGCAUACAAGCAGUGGGAGCACCUUCGUGGUGUGACUGCGUACCUUUUGUAUAAUGGGUCAGCGACUUAUAUUCAGUAGCGAGGUUAACCGUAUAGGGGAGCCGUAGAGAAAUCGAGUCUUAAUAGGGCGUUUAGUUGCUGGGUAUAGACCCGAAACCAGGCGAUCUAUCCAUGAGCAGGUUGAAGGUUGGGUAACACUAACUGGAGGACCGAACCCACUGUCGUUGAAAAGCCAGGGGAUGACUUGUGGAUAGGGGUGAAAGGCUAAUCAAGCCUGGUGAUAGCUGGUUCUCCCCGAAAGCUAUUUAGGUAGCGCCUCGGACGAAUACCAUAGGGGGUAGAGCACUGUUUCGGCUAGGGGGUCAUCCCGACUUACCAAACCGAUGCAAACUCCGAAUACCUAUGAGUACUAUCCGGGAGACAGACUGCGGGUGCUAACGUCCGUAGUCAAGAGGAAAACAAUCCAGACCGCCAGCUAAGGCCCCAAAAUCAUAGUUAAGUGGGAAACGAUGUGGGAAGGCAUAGACAGCUAGGAGGUUGGCUUAGAAGCAGCCACCCUUUAAAGAAAGCGUAAUAGCUCACUAGUCGAGUCGGCCUGCGCGGAAGAUGUAACGGGGCUAAAACUAUGUGCCGAAGCUGCGGAUGUAUACUUUGUAUACGUGGUAGGGGAGCGUUCUGUAAGCCGAUGAAGGUGUGUUGAGAAGCAUGCUGGAGGUAUCAGAAGUGCGAAUGCUGACGUGAGUAACGACAAAACGGGUGAAAAACCCGUUCGCCGAAAGACCAAGGGUUCCAGUCCAACGUUAAUCGGGGCUGGGUGAGUCGACCCCUAAGGCGAGGCCGAAAGGCGUAGUCGAUGGGAAAAUGGUUAAUAUUCCAUUACUUCUGUGUAAUGCGAUGAGAGGACGGAGAAGGCUAAAUCAGCCUGGCGUUGGUUGUCCAGGUGAAAGGAUGUAGGCAUGUAUCUUAGGCAAAUCCGGGGUACUCUAUGCUGAGAUCUGAUAGCAAGCUGUACUUGUACAGCGAAGUGGUUGAUGCCAUGCUUCCAGGAAAAGUCUCUAAGCUUCAGUUACACAGGAAUCGUACCCGAAACCGACACAGGUGGUCAGGUCGAGUAGACCAAGGCGCUUGAGAGAACUCUGCUGAAGGAACUAGGCAAAAUGGUACCGUAACUUCGGGAGAAGGUACGCUGUUGUUGGUGAUGGAACUCGCUUCCUGAGCUGACGACAGCCGCAGAAACCAGGCCGCUGCAACUGUUUAUUAAAAACAUAGCACUCUGCAAACACGAAAGUGGACGUAUAGGGUGUGAUGCCUGCCCGGUGCUGGAAGGUUAAUUGAUGGGGUUAGCGUAAGCGAAGCUCUUGAUCGAAGCCCCAGUAAACGGCGGCCGUAACUAUAACGGUCCUAAGGUAGCGAAAUUCCUUGUCGGGUAAGUUCCGACCUGCACGAAUGGCAUAAUGAUGGCGGCGCUGUCUCCAGCAGAGGCUCAGUGAAAUCGAAAUCGCUGUGAAGAUGCAGUGUACCCGCGGCUAGACGGAAAGACCCCGUGAACCUUUACUGCAGCUUGACACUGAACUUUGACCUUACUUGUGUAGGAUAGGUGGGAGGCUUUGAAGCUGGAACGCUAGUUCCAGUGGAGCCGUCCUUGAAAUACCACCCUGGUAAUGUUGAGGUUCUAACUCUGUCCCGUGAUCCGGGACGAGGACCGUGUCUGGUGGGUAGUUUGACUGGGGCGGUCUCCUCCUAAAGAGUAACGGAGGAGUACGAAGGUGCGCUCAGCGUGGUCGGAAAUCACGCGUAGAGUAUAAAGGCAAAAGCGCGCUUAACUGCGAGACCCACAAGUCGAGCAGGUACGAAAGUAGGUCUUAGUGAUCCGGUGGUUCUGUAUGGAAGGGCCAUCGCUCAACGGAUAAAAGGUACUCUGGGGAUAACAGGCUGAUACCGCCCAAGAGUUCAUAUCGACGGCGGUGUUUGGCACCUCGAUGUCGGCUCAUCUCAUCCUGGGGCUGAAGCAGGUCCCAAGGGUAUGGCUGUUCGCCAUUUAAAGAGGUACGCGAGCUGGGUUUAGAACGUCGUGAGACAGUUCGGUCCCUAUCUACCGUGGGCGCUGGAAAUUUGAGAGGAUCUGCUCCUAGUACGAGAGGACCAGAGUGGACGAACCUCUGGUGUACCGGUUGUGACGCCAGUCGCAUCGCCGGGUAGCUAUGUUCGGAAGGGAUAACCGCUGAAAGCAUCUAAGCGGGAAGCCUACCUCAAGAUAAGAUUUCCCUAGGACUUUAUGUCCUCUAAAGAGCCGUUCGAGACUAGGACGUUGAUAGGUUGGAUGUGGAAGCAUAGUGAUAUGUGAAGCUGACCAAUACUAAUUGCUCGUGAGGCUUGACUAU